UACGUAGGGUGCGAGCGUUAAUCGGAAUUACUGGGCGUAAAGCGUGCGCAGGCGGUGAUGUAAGACGGUUGUGAAAUCCCCGGGCUCAACCUUGGAAUUGCAUCUGUGACUGCAUCGCUAGAGUACGGUAGAGGGGGAUGGAAUUCCGCGUGUAGCAGUGAAAUGCGUAGAUAUGCGGAGGAACACCGAUGGCGAAGGCAAUCCCCUGGACCUGUACUGACGCUCAUGCACGAAAGCGUGGGGAGCAAACAGG
Molecule: ribosomal RNA, 253 nt
Filed under: uncultured bacterium
Lineage: Bacteria
Description: partial 16S ribosomal RNA
Rfam family: Bacterial small subunit ribosomal RNA
Source: RNAcentral